Molecule: ribosomal RNA, 425 nt
Filed under: uncultured bacterium
Lineage: Bacteria
Description: partial 16S ribosomal RNA
Rfam family: Bacterial small subunit ribosomal RNA
Source: RNAcentral
GUGGGGAAUAUUGGACAAUGGGCGCAAGCCUGAUCCAGCCAUGCCGCGUGAAUGAUGAAGGCCUUAGGGUUGUAAAGUUCUUUCGCCAGGGACGAUAAUGACGGUACCUGGAUAAGAAGCCCCGGCUAACUUCGUGCCAGCAGCCGCGGUAAUACGAAGGGGGCUAGCGUUGUUCGGAUUUACUGGGCGUAAAGCGCACGUAGGCGGAUCUUUAAGUCAGGGGUGAAAUCCCGAGGCUCAACCUCGGAACUGCCCUUGAUACUGGAGAUCUUGAGUUCGGGAGAGGUGAGUGGAACUGCGAGUGUAGAGGUGAAAUUCGUAGAUAUUCGCAAGAACACCAGUGGCGAAGGCGGCUCACUGGCCCGAUACUGACGCUGAGGUGCGAAAGCGCGGGGAGCAAACAGGAUUAGAAACCCUUGUAGUCC